This 259-nucleotide ribosomal RNA is filed under the name uncultured prokaryote. RNAcentral describes it as "partial 16S ribosomal RNA". It matches the Rfam family "Bacterial small subunit ribosomal RNA", at positions 524 to 782 of the family's 1533-position model. The record is from RNAcentral.
UACGGAGGAUGCGAGCGUUAUCCGGAUUUAUUGGGUUUAAAGGGUGCGUAGGCGGCUUUUUAAGUCAGCGGUGAAAUUUUGCAGCUUAACUGUAACAGUGCCGUUGAUACUGUUUGGCUAGGAUUUGGUUGUAGUGUGCGGAAUGUGUGGUGUAGCGGUGAAAUGCUUAGAUAUCACACAGAACACCGAUUGCGAAGGCAGCACACUAAGUCAUUAUUGACGCUGAGGCACGAAAGCGUGGGUAGCAAACAGGAUUAGA